CGCGUAGGCGGUGUCUUAAGUGGGAUGUGCAAUCCCCGAGCUUAACUUGGGAACUGCAUCCCAGACUGGGACGCUGGAGUACUGGAGAGGGUGGUAGAAUUCCACGUGUAGCGGUGAAAUGCGUAGAGAUGUGGAGGAAUACCAGUGGCGAAGGCGGCCACCUGGACAGUAACUGACGCUGAGGCGCGAAAGUGUGGGCAGCAAACAGGAUUAGAUACCCUGGUAGUCCACGCUGUAAACGAUGAACACUUGGUGUGGUGGGAGUUGACCCCCGCCGUGCCGUAGCUAACGCGGUAAGUGUUCCGCCUGGGGAGUACGGUCGCAAGGCUGAA
Molecule: ribosomal RNA, 332 nt
Filed under: uncultured bacterium
Lineage: Bacteria
Description: bacterial SSU rRNA
Rfam family: Bacterial small subunit ribosomal RNA
Source: RNAcentral